Molecule: ribosomal RNA, 468 nt
Filed under: uncultured bacterium
Lineage: Bacteria
Description: partial 16S ribosomal RNA
Rfam family: Bacterial small subunit ribosomal RNA
Source: RNAcentral
GACGAACGCUGGCGGCGUGCUUAACACAUGCAAGUCGAACGGAAAGGCCCUGCUUUUGUGGGGUGCUCGAGUGGCGAACGGGUGAGUAACACGUGAGUAACCUGCCCUUGACUUUGGGAUAACUUCGGGAAACUGGGGCUAAUACCGGAUAGGAGCUCCUGCUGCAUGGUGGGGGUUGGAAAGUUUCGGCGGUUGGGGAUGGACUCGCGGCUUAUCAGCUUGUUGGUGGGGUAGUGGCUUACCAAGGCUUUGACGGGUAGCCGGCCUGAGAGGGUGACCGGCCACAUUGGGACUGAGAUACGGCCCAGACUCCUACGGGAGGCAGCAGUGGGGAAUAUUGCACAAUGGGCGGAAGCCUGAUGCAGCAACGCCGCGUGCGGGAUGACGGCCUUCGGGUUGUAAACCGCUUUCGCCUGUGGCGAAGCGUGAGUGACGGUAAUGGGUAAAGAAGCACCGGCUAACUACGUG